RNAcentral lists this long non-coding RNA (265 nucleotides) under Mytilus galloprovincialis (Mediterranean mussel). The record is from RNAcentral. Lineage: Eukaryota; Metazoa; Mollusca; Bivalvia; Mytilida; Mytilidae.
CUUUCUAAUUUUAAUUCCAAAUUACAGUUUUGACCCCAAUUUCAUGGUCCACUGAACAUAGAAAAUGAUAGUGCAAAGUUCAGGUUAAAGUUUUUGGUCAAGGUAGUUUUUGAUGAAGUUCAAGUUACAUCAACUUGAAACUUAGUACACAUGUUCCCUAUGAUAUGAUCUUUCUAAUUUUAAUUCCAAAUUAAAGUUUUGACCCCAAUUUCACGGUCCACUGAACAUAGAAAAUGAUAGUGGAAGUGGGGCAUCCGUGUACUAU